Non-coding RNA from Paramuricea clavata, 348 nucleotides. The record is from the annotation of a GenBank genome assembly. Lineage: Eukaryota; Metazoa; Cnidaria; Anthozoa; Malacalcyonacea; Plexauridae.
GAGUCCAUGUUUUACUAAUAGAGUCCAUGUUUUACUAAUCGGGUCCAGUCCAUGUUUUACUUAUGAGUCCAGUCCAUGUUUUACUACAUGCCUCUCAACUUACUGUCUUACUUGAGAUUCUCCAUAAAGUAUAUGCAUGUGAAAAAUGUAAAAAUGUUUUGCAAUCUUGUUGCUUCUACAUAUAUUCCUCAUGAUCCUGAAUCCCGAGAUCUCACAUUUUUCCAGACCUGUCCCAUACUGUAUAGGCUGGUUUACAUUAUCAAAGUUUCUGUAAUCACAGUAGGAAUAUUACACUAGCAAUUUUGAAUGGUUUGUUAAAGGGUCAUGAUCAACCACAAUGCAAUGCGC